RNAcentral lists this long non-coding RNA (2556 nucleotides) under Gallus gallus (chicken). Lineage: Eukaryota; Metazoa; Chordata; Aves; Galliformes; Phasianidae. The record is from RNAcentral.
CGAGAAUUUACUCCCUUCGCCUCCAACUGGUUGGCAAAAAAAGGAGGGUUGCACAUGCAGAAAUCGUAAAUUAUCUCAGAUUCUUCUUUCAGUGCAUCCAUUAGAAGAGUCUUCUGUGGUACCUUAACCACUUUUAUAAGAUCAGACAAGUUAUUCUGCUCCACAUUCUUCUUGGCAUAAUUGAAGCACAUAUCAUCCACUUCUGUGGCAAGAAAAUACCAGCCAUUCAACGUUGAUCCAAGUAAUGGGUAUAUGCACGAUGCCCCUGUCCCUAUGUCGAUGCCCCGCCUAAGCACUCGCUUGUCAGCAUCCUGGUGGCCAAUGAGAUCCUCCACCCAGUGGAUGUAGUUCAGCCUCAAGGGGACGGUGGGAAUGAGCCUUUCCAGGGGGAUGUCAAUGGUGAGCCCAAAAUCCUCCUUCAGGAGGGUACACGUCAGAGCUCUCACCGCCUCGGGGUCCUUGAAGUUCAGGCUGAAAGCACAAGCAGGCGUUACGUCGGGGUCCGGCCGCAGACACGCGCGCAGCUCGGAAACCCGCCCCCCCUCGCGGCCGCCUACCUCACCCUGCCGGCCAGGGUGGUCUGUACGUGCUGCCGGAACUCGGGGUACUUGCCGGCCAGAUAACGUACACGCAAACAUGCAAAAAUCCCAUUUUCCUGAAGGUGGCUGUCUAAGAUCAGAGUUGCUUCUGAUUGGAAGAAGUGUUUACUAUAAAUAACCUCUAAUAGGCAUUCCUCUGAGCAAACAGCAGUGAAAGCUCAUCUGGAGGUGGAGGGCGAGCGAGGAAGACCAUUGGAAGAAGCAAAAGGCCAAAAGGCUGUCGGUUGGACUGUCAUGAUGCUGAAAGGACGCUAGGCGGUAGAAGAGACCAUGGAGUAGAGGACUGGAAACCUCAUCAAUCACUACCUGAGAUGGGCGUGUGUGUAAUUAUCUCGCAGGUAAUCAGUGAGUGUGUUACUACCUGUGGAAAUAGAAUGGACUCUGAAUCACGUCAUCUUGGAAGGACUUAUGGUGGAAAUAUCCCCAGGGCUUCCCGGUGCUGCUAAAUAAAGAACACCUGACUUAAUGCUAACAAAACCUUGUUCUGUUUCUGCGCACUGAUUUCUCCUGUUCGCUUCUCACAGCUACACCCACGACGUGCCAGAAUGGCUUCGUUACUCUGAAGGCAUCUUUAAAACCUCUCAGCGCUGUGAAUUGCUUUCUGUGUCAUCAGUUUGGGCCUGCAGCCCCUCCCGGCCUGGCAGCAGCCUGCCAUUGGCAUACCUGGUUUCCCCACUUCAGAUCCAUAACACAAAGAGCUCGUACUUCCAGUUAUUAUCAUACUGCCGUUUGCUGAACACGCAUUUUGAAAGACACAUAAAAAGGACUUCAUAAUGAGCUUUGAUUUUAAAAAGUGGCAAAACAAAGGCUAAAACUGGGACUUAAAGCCGGCUUCAGCUCCCAGCUGUGUCAUUGACAGCUUGGGCACAUUUCAUUCCCAAGUGCCAAGUUCUCCCAUCAAUACAGGAGGAACUUACUGUCUGAAUACAGUGUGUUGGUUCCUCAGAUAACUUGGAUAAAAGCAUACCUCAGCAAGAGUGACAUUAAAGUACAAUCUAUUAUUCUUCUAUUCGUUUUCCAGGCUGGAUGUGGCUCUGGGCAGCCCGGUCUGGUGGUUGGUGACCCUACACAUAGCGGGGGGGUUGAAACUCGAUGAUCAUUGUGGUCCUUUUCAACCCAGGCCAUGCUAUGAUUCUAUUAUUCUAUGAUUUUUUCCUUGUUAAACUUCCAAAUGCUUGCAUGUUGUUUCAAAAUUAAGUACGUAGGCAUCCCCAUUUGACUCUCAAAUGUCUGAAAUGACUUUGCAGCUGGGUUUGCUUUCAGUCCUAGCUCCUGCCCUCACAGCUGUCUGUGUCCUAAGGGCAGCCAAGCUGCUAAGCUUCACACAGAAAAGACUAAUUUUAUUAUCUAUUUUCUUAAACACACACCUUUUUUUACCAGAGCAACAUCCCAACUCGUGUACAGCCCACCCUUUCCGCUUCUGGAAGUCAUUCUCCACAGUCUGCCCCCACCCACAGCCAAAGAAGUGAAGCUGAUGUGGACAAAAGCAGAAUGGAGGCAGAGUCAAAAAUACGAAUUUUAAUUUGGAGUACUUAGUGUAUUUACAGUAGAAGGGUUCUCUCUAGUCAAGGGACAACAGAUUUUUUUAAAAAUCCACAUUCACAAAUAUGUGGACCUGCACCUGAUGCAGGCUAAUUGCUUUUUGCUACUUCUGCUGCACUCAGGCAACAGCCAUGAGAAAAUGCUGGUGUGAGCUUGUAGAUGGAAUCAGAUGUCUCUUACACCCAAGUAGCACUUACACAAUGGAGUCCAGAAAGUAGUGUGAAGUUAUCCAACAGCUGCUAAAAAAUGUCUCAUAUAUAUGUACAUAUAUGCAGUCCCAUUUGCAGCCAGGAUUCAAUGAUUCAGUGAAUCAUUCAGGGAGAGACAGGCAAGCAGGCACAAGCCUACCAACCUGUGUGCAAGCACAGAUCUGCAGGGACACUCACUGCCAGGUACAAAGGUACCUCCUCACCCA